RNAcentral lists this non-coding RNA (79 nucleotides) under Moorena producens 3L. The record is from RNAcentral. Lineage: Bacteria; Bacillati; Cyanobacteriota; Cyanophyceae; Coleofasciculales; Coleofasciculaceae.
AGGAGCUGGAUGAGGCGAAAGUUUCACGUCCAGUUCUGAAGCGGAGGUGCCCUGGGUAAUACCAGGCAUCGACCGUAAC